RNAcentral lists this ribosomal RNA (494 nucleotides) under uncultured Sphingobacteriales bacterium. RNAcentral describes it as "bacterial SSU rRNA". It matches the Rfam family "Bacterial small subunit ribosomal RNA", at positions 887 to 1382 of the family's 1533-position model. The record is from RNAcentral. Lineage: Bacteria; Pseudomonadati; Bacteroidota; Sphingobacteriia; Sphingobacteriales.
CGCCCGCUCAGAAACUCAAAUGAAUUGACGGGGGCCCGCACAAGCGGUGGAGCAUGUGGUUUAAUUCGAUGAUACGCGAGGAACCUUACCUGGGCUCAAAUGUAUGUUGACGUAUUCUGAAAGGGAUACUUCUUCGGACAAUAUACAAGGUGCUGCAUGGUUGUCGUCAGCUCGUGCCGUGAGGUGUCGGGUUAAGUCCCAUAACGAGCGCAACCCCUAUCAUUAGUUGCCAUCAGGUCAAGCUGGGGACUCUAAUGAAACUGCCUACGCAAGUAGUGAGGAAGGCGGGGAUGACGUCAAAUCAGCACGGCCCUUACGUCCAGGGCUACACACGUGCUACAAUGGCCGAUACAGAGGGCAGCUACCUGGUGACAGGAUGCAAAUCUCCAAAGUCGGUCUCAGUUCGGAUCGGAGUCUGCAACCCGACUCCGUGAAGUUGGAUUCGCUAGUAAUCGCGCAUCAGCCAUGGCGCGGUGAAUACGUUCCCGGGCCUU